This 144-nucleotide small nucleolar RNA is filed under the name Myotis brandtii (Brandt's bat). RNAcentral's name for it is "Small nucleolar RNA SNORA48". It matches the Rfam family "Small nucleolar RNA SNORA48". From Rfam's summary of the family: The snoRNA ACA 48 has been identified to guide pseudouridylation of the residue U3797 in the 28S rRNA subunit. Lineage: Eukaryota; Metazoa; Chordata; Mammalia; Chiroptera; Vespertilionidae. The record is from Rfam by way of RNAcentral.
ACCCCCUGGCAGUGGGCAAGGAGACACCUGAUUGGUGGUUUGCUCUUAUAUCAAUCAGGGGCCAAGCAGAUAUACAGUCCUUAGUUCAUCUUAGCUUGAUGCCUGUGUUGGUGGCCAGAGCUGUUUCAUGUCUGAGGCACAUAU